Molecule: long non-coding RNA, 511 nt
Organism: Mastomys coucha (southern multimammate mouse)
Lineage: Eukaryota; Metazoa; Chordata; Mammalia; Rodentia; Muridae
Exons: 2
Source: RefSeq, a predicted model, not a curated record
AGCAGGUGUCAGGGCGUGGCUUUUACAGUCUUUGUACUCUUUUCUAUGAUGUUCCCUGAGCCUAAUGGUUGAAUUGUAGACGCACCAAAUGGGCACUCCACCAGAAUGUAUUCUCCGCAUUCUGACCAAUUUUGGAUCUCUGCAAUAGUCUCCACGUGCUACAAAAAGAAACUUCAUUAAUGAGGGACUUGGUGACACACAAGUAGUGUCAGAAUCAGAAGGCUUCUUUCUGUUCCAGACCCAGAAGGGGAGCUGACAUCUUUUAUCAAAAAGGCAGACAAUUCCAAUCCCUUGACGAUUCCAGAUUAUGGAUCCCAGGAGGCUUGCCUUACACCAGCGUCUUAUCACUGGAAUCAGAGUGGCUGCUGUUUAUUUUCUGAACCUCAGCAUAGUUUUCAAGGUGUUGCCUGCCAGCAGGGCCUCGACUGACAGUGACAUGUGUUAUUGUCACAUCGCUAGAUCUGAGAGAAAACGCGAGAUAAAUAAAUAUCAGUGUCUUCUUGGAUCCCUC